RNAcentral lists this unclassified non-coding RNA (268 nucleotides) under uncultured fungus. RNAcentral describes it as "sequence contains ITS1". The record is from RNAcentral. Lineage: Eukaryota; Fungi.
GUAUAAUUUAUCGUAGGCAAUGAAGCCUUUGAAGUACAUUCUAGGUUUGUUUAAAGGUUUGUAAUACAUAGACUCGGAAAGCAGAGAGAGCAGGCUUUCGCACUGCAGCUCCCCAAACCGACUUCAAAAGAAGUCGAGAGGUAUCCAAGUCUACAGAGGUGCACAGGUGGAAAAAUGGUUUCAACAAAGUGUGCACAUGCUCCUAAGAGCCAGCAGCAACUUUGAAGAGAAUUCAAUAAUGAUCCUUCCGCAGGUUCACCUACGGAAA